Molecule: ribosomal RNA, 497 nt
Filed under: uncultured bacterium
Lineage: Bacteria
Description: partial 16S ribosomal RNA
Rfam family: Bacterial small subunit ribosomal RNA
Source: RNAcentral
GAUGAACGCUGGCGGCGUGCCUAAUACAUGCAAGUCGAGCGAACAGACGAGGAGCUUGCUCCUCUGACGUUAGCGGCGGACGGGUGAGUAACACGUGGAUCACCUACCUAUCAGACUGGGAUAACCUCGGGAAACCGGAGCUAAUACCGGAUAAUAUCUUGAACCGCAUGGUUCAAUAGUGAAAGACGGUUUUGCUGUCACUUCUAGCUGGAUCCGCGCCGCAUUAGCUAGUUGGUAAGGUAACGGCUUACCAAGGCAACGAUGCGUAGCCGACCUGAGAGGGUGAUCGGCCACACCGGAACUGAGACACGGUCCAGACUCCUACGGGAGGCAGCAGUAGGGAAUCUUCCGCAAUGGGCGAAAGCUUGACGGAGCAACGCCGCGUGAGUGAUGAAGGUCUUCGGAUCGUAAAACUCUGUUAUUAGGGAAGAACAAAUGUGUAAGUAACUAUGCACGUCUUGACGGUACCGAAUCAGAAAGCCACGGCUAACUACGUG